GAUGAACGCUGGCGGCGUGCCUAAUACAUGCAAGUCGAGCGAACGGACGAGAAGCUUGCUUCUCUGAUGUUAGCGGCGGACGGGUGAGUAACACGUGGAUAACCUACCUAUAAGACUGGGAUAACUUCGGGAAACCGGAGCUAAUACCGGAUGAUAUUUUGAACCGCAUGGUUCAAAAGUGAAAGACGGUCUUGCUGUCACUUAUAGAUGGAUCCGCGCUGCAUUAGCUAGUUGGUAAGGUAACGGCUUACCAGGGCAACGAUGCAUAGCCGACCUGAGAGGGGGAUCGCCCCCCUGGAAACUGAGCCCCGGCCAAGACCCUAAGGGAGGGCACAGUUAGGGAAUCUCCGGAAAUGGGCGAAACCUUGCCGAAGCAACGCGCGGGUGGUGAGGAAGGUCUCCGAACGGAAAAACUCUUUAUUAGGGAAGAACAUAUGUGUAAGUAACUGUGCACAUCUUGACGGUACCUAAUCAGAAAGCCACGGCUAACUACGUG
This 496-nucleotide ribosomal RNA is filed under the name uncultured bacterium. Its description in RNAcentral is "partial 16S ribosomal RNA". It matches the Rfam family "Bacterial small subunit ribosomal RNA", at positions 28 to 507 of the family's 1533-position model. The record is from RNAcentral.